UGGGGAAUAUUGCACAAUGGGCGCAAGCCUGAUGCAGCGACGCCGCGUGAGGGAUGGAGGCCUUCGGGUUGUAAACCUCUUUCGCCAGUGAAGCAGGCCAUCUUCUUUGUGGGGUGGUUGACGGUAGCUGGAUAAGAAGCGCCGGCUAACUACGUGCCAGCAGCCGCGGUAAUACGUAGGGCGCGAGCGUUGUCCGGAAUUAUUGGGCGUAAAGAGCUCGUAGGCGGCUGGUCGCGUCUGUCGUGAAAUCCCCUGGCUUAACUGGGGGCUUGCGGUGGGUACGGGCCGGCUUGAGUGCGGUAGGGAAGACUGGAAUUCCUGGUGUAGCGGUGGAAUGCGCAUAUAUCAGGAGGAACACCGGUGGCGAAGGCGGGUCUCUGGGCCGUUACUGACGCUGAGGAGCGAAAGCGUGGGGAGCGAACAGG
Molecule: ribosomal RNA, 425 nt
Filed under: bacterium
Lineage: Bacteria
Description: partial 16S ribosomal RNA
Rfam family: Bacterial small subunit ribosomal RNA
Source: RNAcentral